AGGAAGGAGGGAAGUGGCCCGUCUUCAGCUCCUGAGCAGCUUCGGCUCUUCCGUUCCCGCAGCGCUGACUAUUCGGACCUUUGGGGCAGAACACAAGACGGUCAACCCCUGCUCCGCAGACCUGACUGCGCUCUGAGGUAAGGAAAGGAAGAGAAAACAGGAAACAUUGGAAAGAUAAAUGGGGUCUUUCCCGUGAAGAUCUGCAGAAACACAAGAAAAAAAUUUCCAUGUGAAAAAUGGUAAACAGCAGUUGAGGAAUAUCAACGAUUAUUGACAGGACUAGGAAAGAUGGCGGAGGAGUAGGGGACCCUAUUUCAGCUGGUCCCCAGAAUUAAGCUGGAUAUCUACCAGACCACUCUGAGCACCCACGAAACCAGCCUGAGAUGUAAGAAGAUCUGGAUCUCUACAAACAGAAUAUCGCAGGCGGUUGGUUUCGAGGUACGAAGCGGGGACCCGUGAUUCUGCGGGCAGAUAUCGGAGGAUAAACGGCAGCAGGAGGGUGCCUGGACGUGGGGAUCCUACACCGCCGUGAGAGUUUUGAAAGGCUGCCAAUGAACCAAAAUAGAAAAAAACAUGCUAGAGAAGAAAAGAAGCAUCCAUAAUACGGUCUCAUCUUACCUAACUCUCACCACCAAAAUGCAGGACUCAGGUCAACAACACAGGGAUCAUCUCAUACAAGCACAAAAGAAGCAUGAAAAAUACUGACCCUGAGCAUUAGAUGUGUUCCAAGCAAGCUAUGCUUCUCUGGGCAAAACAGCCCCACCAAGUCUUGUCAACUUCUCCUUUGGGAGAUGCAGAGACUGGAGGGAGGGGCGGGGGAGACGGGGGAUGAGGCUAGACACCUGUCCCUAGUGGAAAAAGGAACACACCUGGAGAGCAACUCAGACAAAGGGAGCCAAGGGGGAAAAACAGUAAUUGGAGAGGAGACUGCUUCCAAUCUGUUGCUGGGUUUAUAAGGUAAAUCUAUUCCUGGAGGAAAGGGAUAUAGUAGCUGCACACUAAAAACUGGGACAAGGCGUGUCUAUGCCAAACUGUAUCUUCUUCAAGAAGUUUUGAAGCCCAGUUUGAAUCAAGUGACCUGCCUGAGAUUGCCAGGUGUCCUGUGCACAUCUCAUUCAUUCAUUCAUUCAUUCACUCACUUAGUCAUAUUGAGCACCUAACAAGCUCUAAGCACUGUUGAUAAAAAAGUAAACAAGGCAUAAUAGUACUUAGCACACUGCAUUUAUUUGCAUUGGUUUUGGCUUUUUCUCUCCCACAGCAGCUUCUAGGAAGGGGCCCUAUUUCAUUUUUGCAUCCUCAGUGCCUAGAACAAGUGCCUGGAACAGGUUAGGUGCUUAAUGAACGAAAAAAUGACUUUAAAGCAUACUUUUCAUAGGGGGCUAUGUUCUCAAACCUGUAGCCCUAUUUGGGGGGGACAAGGGAUGACCGGUACACAUGACGAGAACGGGCAAGGCAUCUUUAAUCGGAGUACCCACAGCAAUCCAGUUUUCCUGUGGCUUCUAGUCCUCAAGUAAGUUAAAGUACGGGAGUCCAGGGAGGGAUGGGGAAGGUCUGCCGCCUCCUCCCUCUUCCCGCAUGCGGAGGGCUGAAAUUGGGGGACCCGCGAAGGGAGUUCUCGCGAGCCCGCCUGUCCGCCCGCGCUCCUCACCAGGUCAAUGGCCACGACGUCCCGCAGCGCCACGGCUCGCCGUAUGGACUUGGGCGGGUUCUCGGUCAGGUAGAUGAGCCGAUCGCUGAGCACCACGUACUUGAAGGUGUGCUUCUCCGAGUCGGACACCACGAUGCACGGCUCGUAGGCGCGGACGGCGUCGUAGACCUCGGGCGGCAGCUGCCUCCGCAGGAACGCGUCCAGACGGCUAUUCGUGUGCGCAGGGAAGCCAGACCUUGCGGGGCCCGCCAUGCGCGGCGCCCGCGCCCGGAGCGAGUGCCGGCGGCGGGGGGCGGACGCCUCUGCCCGGCCCCGCCUCCGCGCCGCCUGCGGUGGAACCCGCGCGCGCCACAAAGCCGCCCGCCCCGCCGCCACCACCUGCCCCGGGCGCAGGGAGCAGGGCCCCCAACGUCGGUGCCCGUCCAACGAUGGACGGGGCGAGAGGCUGGUCUUUCGGUAAAUCAUCAUCAAGCAUCCCGUGGGCUGCGGGGCGGAUAUUUAGGGGCCCUCUUCGUCCUCUGCUCACAGCAGCCCCAACCCCCCCGCCCGCCUCAGCUAUUGAGGACCAUGCCAUUUCUAACAGACGGUAUUGAUGAGGGAAUCCACAAUUUCAAACUGGUUUUCUGUUAGAAACGAGAUGAAAUUUACCCAUUUAUUUUUUUUUAAGAUUUUUAUUUAUUCAUUUGAGACACAGAGAUACAGAGAGAGAGCAUGAGCAGGGGGAGAGGCAGAGGGAGAGGCAGAGGGAGAGGGAGAAGAAGGUUCCCCGCCGAGCCAGGAGCCCGACGUGGGGCUCAAUCCCAGGACCCUGGGAUCAUGACCUGAGCUGAAGACAGACGCUUAACCCUCCGAGCCACCCAGGCGCCCCUACCCAUCUAUUUUUAAAUAGGCAGAACAACCCUAGAAUCCUACGAAGACCAAUCGCACAGAUUUAUCAUUUGAUUGUAACAUUGCCUGAUACAGUCCUCUAGUUAUUCAUGAGUAUGAACGUAGAUCUUUUCUCUCCAACUAAUUGAAAGCGCUCUCUCUGAAGGAAAUCUUAUAAAUUGAUUUGGCACGCACAAGCCUAAAGGGUAGGCUUGUCUUCCCAAGGUGCAGGACAAAACCCUGUAGACCGUCAGAGCUCAAUCUGUGUAGGAUAAAUGAAUGGGGGAGGCCCGCCUCUUGAAACGUUGAAGAACAGAGGGGGAGGAACGCUAAUUGUGCACCCUUGAAGCGUCAUGACAGUGAAAGUACUGCUUCGUUUUUUACAGAUCAGGAGUCACUUAUUAUAAAUUAAGUUAGAGAGAUGAGACAGGCAUAGAAAUUUGCCUCUAAUAACCCUAGGUAACAACUUCCAUUUUAAUUUCAAACUCUAGAGAAGUCAUUCUCUCUCCCUGCCCAUUCACCCAAAGUACUGGUACACAUUUGUGUGUAUUUUUGCUCCAGCUACCCACAACUCAAAAUCAAAUUGUAUAUUCUUUACUGCAGUUCAUAGUCUCCUCUUCAUCUUUUGCUGUUGUAUAUUGUAUGCUAUAAACAAUUUCAGAUCUUAUGGGGAAAGUAUAAACAAAAUACAUAAAUAGAUAUUGUAGACUGAAUCACUGCAAAAAGGAACUGAGGAGAAAUGUUCGGGUGGCUUACCACUUCUGAGGAACUCAAUAGCAGCAAAGAAAAACAGUAUUUCUUUUAGUGGAGAGAUUGUAUUUAGUGACUAAGGAGAGAAGUGCCACCUGCUGACAAAAUCUUAAAUGACCUAGCAUUCCAAGUUUUCUUAGAAUCUGAUCAGACAUCUGUCUGAUUCUUCAUAACUUCAUAGGUGGAUAAGAAGGGGGCCCCAGAGGCAUGACUGUUUCCUCUAAAAUAAAGACUAUCCAGGGGCGCCUGGGUGGCUCAGUCGUUAAGCAUCUGCCUUCAGCUCAGGUCAUGAUCCCAGGGUCCUGGGAUUAAGCCCUGCAUCGAGCUCCCUGCUCAGCAGGAAGCCUGCUUCUCCCUCUCCCACUCCCCCUGCUUGUGUUCCUUCUCUCAUUGUGUCUGUCUCUGUCAAAUAAAUAAAUAAAAUCUAAAAAAAAAAAAGACUAUCCCCUAUCGAAACCACUCUACAGUUUGUUGCCUAAAACCAACAGAAGGCAAAGGCCUUUUACCUUUGCCAAAGAGCUGCCUCACAAGAGCCGUUCAGAGGCAAAUGACUGCAUUCGAAGUGAAAUGUGAAGUGAAAUGUGAAGCCCAAGCAAGGGAAAAGACCUCAUUCCAAGCUGCUAUUUAGUGUCCGUCAGGCUUUUGCUCCAUACUUGGGCCUAACAGAUACAGAAUAACUGCAGCAGGACUAGAAAAGACAGUAUACCUGACCUAUCUGCCAAGAAACCCAUCAUAAAUGAGCUUGGUGACAAGGCUCUAGACUUGACAAACAUUAAGAUGAAGCCCGUGCAGAAGGGAAUUUGACAAAAGUAGUGGUGGUUAAGGUGACCUCAGCUAAACUUUCAAGUUUGUGGCACACAGAAAAGGCAGCG
Long non-coding RNA from Mirounga angustirostris (Northern elephant seal), 4137 nucleotides. RefSeq lists it as uncharacterized. The transcript has 6 exons. Lineage: Eukaryota; Metazoa; Chordata; Mammalia; Carnivora; Phocidae. The record is from RefSeq and is a predicted model, not a curated record.